This 660-nucleotide long non-coding RNA is filed under the name Homo sapiens (human). RNAcentral's name for it is "non-protein coding lnc-GTF2H2-7:2". Lineage: Eukaryota; Metazoa; Chordata; Mammalia; Primates; Hominidae. The record is from RNAcentral.
AGAGCAGUCAUGAUGCCCUGCACUCCACACAAUGCAACAGAGUGAAAGAGCAGGUUCUGCUUCUUUGGUGUAGUCCUGAAGCUUCCUAAGAAACUUCACAUCAGGUGAUGGAUAGGAGCAACCCUGUAAAACCAGCCUUAGACUAUUUUUCAAACAGGCUGGUGAAUUACCAGAUCUCCGUCAAGUGCAGUAACCAGUUCAAGUUGGAAGUGUGUCUUUUGAAUGCAGAAAACAAAGUCGUGGACAACCAGGCUGGGACCCAGGGCCAGCUGAAGGUGCUGGGUGCCAACCUCUGGUGGCCGUACCUGAUGCACGAACACCCCGCCUACCUGUACUCGUGGGAGGAUGGUGAUUGCUCACACCAAAGCCUUGGACCCCUCCCAGCCUGUGACCUUUGGGACCAACUCCACCUACGCAGCAGACAAGGGGGCUCUGUAUGUGGAUGUGAUCCGUGUGAACAGCUACUACUCUUGGUAUCGCAACUACGGGCACCUGGAGUUGAUUCGGCUGCAGCUGGCCGCCCAGUUUGAGAAUUGGUGUAAGACAUCACAAUCCCAUUAUUCAGAGCGCGUAUGGAGUGGAAACGCUUGUAGGGCUUCACCAGGUAAGCGGUGUUGAACUUUCUGCUUGUGUAUUCUCUCUGGGCAGAGAUGCCACUUG